GCAUCAACCCUAGCCAUGGCGACAUUGCUGGUUAGCUCUGGGGGAGCUUGGCCUACUGGCUGACCUCACCCUCUUCCACCUCAAUUCUAACCUGUUGAAAAUUUGAAUGUGUGCGGGUGGAAGCAAGUGAUAGUUUUUGUGGUGGACAAGGGACAAGCUAGAAUAGUUGAAGAAUAUAGGUCAUGGGAUAUGGAGAAAACAAUUUCAUUAGAUGGACAAAACUAAUUCUGAUGGAGGUGGUGGUGGUGGUGGAGGAGUAUAAGGACAUGGAGUUUAUAAGCUCACUCCCCACACAUUACAGGAAUGAUUCUAAGUUCUAUUUAUAGAGCAACUCCACCAACUUUAGAGGCAUCCGCCGAUUCAUAUUCUUACCCACUAAGCAUACUUGUUUUACAAUAAUUAUAUUUUGAAGCCACUUCCUUUGACCGACUUUCCUUGUUCAAACUGUCUGACAAUAAGAGGAUCUUCUUGGCUAAUUCGGCCACCACCUAGAAUUCUACAACUGGCUGUUCUUGCAUCUCACCAUCAUCACUUCUUCAACAGCAAUUCUUGACUUUUUUUUCGUAAUUCAAGCAAGUGCAAAAUCCAAGCAUUUAUGAGUUUGGAUAUAAUUUUCGUGAGGCAUUUUUGGCCAAGCAAAGGGUUUAGUUGGGAGGAAAUUAAGGGGGAAAUUGCACUUGUGGCUUGCUCGUUGCGCCUCAGCAGCUAUUCUUGACUUAUUUUCAAGGUUUCCCAAGUCUUCUUCAACUUGGUUAUGCUUACUGUUUCUUUUGCUGAUGCUUGCUUGCAUUCCCACGUGAGUCUUCUAGGUUCAAUUAACCAACCAUUCUCAAUAAUUCUAGACAAUCUUCAACAUGGACGGUGCUGCCAACGUUCUUGCCUUCUUGAUUAACUCAGUAGUUUUUAGAUAAUUUAGAGAAAAUAGAUCACAAUUUCCAACAUAACUGAUUCCGCAGCACCAUGUUGUGGAAGUUCCAAAGUCUGAAGCAGCUCUUUGAGCUGGAUCUAAGCAACAACUAGUUUCACCGGGAAAUUUCCAAAGGUCGCACUGGAGCACCUAGUGCUAAACUUCUUAGACCUCCGUUUCAACGAGUUUGAGCUCUUUGACACAGAUUUGGAAACCUUUUUCAUCGAUGAAAACCAAUCUCGUCUUAUGCCACGAGUAAAACGUUAGGAACACCCUACGAGGAGCUUCACCACAUUUGCUGGGGAAUUUUUCGAUUAGGGUUUCUUUAAAAGGCAAAGGGAAGAAGAUGAAUAAUACAGGCGAAGGAAAGAUUGAAAAUAGAAGAAGAUAAAAGACAAAAGAGAAAAAAAGAGAAAAAAAAUUGAGAAAAUAGACUCAAUACUAUGUCAUUUUGUUAAGGUAGUUUGCAUUAGACGUCAUUAGUAAUACCUAAAACCGUCAAUGCUGGCGAGUCCAUACUAAUAUUUUUAGACAAUAAUUUAUCUGGCGAGUCCAUACUAAUAUUUUUAGACAAUAAUUUAUCGGAAUGAUUUCAUUUGAAAAUUAUCAUAAGAUUUAAGAUUGCAUUGAUCAAAUUUAAAAGUUUGGAGUUUAAUUGUGAGUCGCACAAUAAAUUUAGGAUUUUUUAAAAGUUUGGAGUUUAAUUGUGAGUCGCACAAUAAAUUUAGGAUUUUUAGGUAAUAUUAUCUCAUAUAUUUUUAAAUUUGAUAAAAUUAUGCCAAGAUUGAGUUCCAUUAUACCAUGGACAUGUAGCACCAUUCUGAAAAUUGUUGAAUAUAACGACAUACAAGAAAUGAAAAGAAGGUAAUGGAAUAUUUAGAUAAUUAAAUAGAAAUUAAAAAAUGGAUUAGUUGAGAGGAUGAGAGUAUUAUUUAUGGGGUAAUCACUCUUUUGUGGGGCCUUCUAGAAGCUAGCAUCUUGAUUUGAUUGAAUUACAAAAGAGAAAAUUAUAAUAGUCAGAUGUAUAAUGGAAUUUUUUUAUUAAAAAAAAAAAUGAGUGAUUGAGACUUACCGGGAGAGUAUGAUUGAAGUGUACUCUCUUUUUUGCGGAGUCUUCAAAAUCCUUGUUUACUCUCUCUCAAUAUAUAUAUGUGUGUGUGUUUAUACUUUCUCUAUCCAUACCAUUUUUCUUUUCGAGAAAACUUAUCAAGAUUGUAAUUGUAUUUUUUUUUUAGUUAUAUGUAUGUUGUAUGCAUAAUUCGUUUCAAUUACCAAGUCAACUCCACACCUUCGCAAAGUGUUUGUAAUGUGAAGACUAAGAGUUGAACCCUAUGCCAUGAGUAUGCUUGCAUCUUGUCCUGCUCACGUGAAUAUAUAUAGAUGCACACAUUCGAAUAUGUGUUCAUAUCAUCUAAUCUCCUAUUACAUGUUAGAGAGAUGAGAUUAGCCAUAUAGUAAUGACAGAGGAUGAAACAUAAUGUUUUGAGACCAUGUUCAUAUCAUCUAAUCUCCUAUUACAUGUUCGUGUGGUAACUUUUGGUAAUUCUCCAUAAUUCUAUAAAUACCAUAACAUACAUAAACUUGAAAUUAUUUUACAAUCCAUAGAACAAGAUUUACACUUUUUUUUUUUCAAUAUUGAGAGGUGGUCAUCCGUUCUCCCAGUCCUAAACUCGAAGAGGAGCAUAUCAGGGGCAUGGGAAAAUCGAGCGAAAUUAGGUUUGGAAUCUCGGGUGCUUCCAUCCCCCCCCAUGUCCUGUGGACGUGAUUGGCCAACUAGUCUGUCGUUUCUUCUAUGGGUCACCACCGUCAUUUUGUUGGGGGUUCGGAAUUCGCCUCCUCUCCCCGGUCAGCACCAUCAUUUUCAACCCCAUGGGAGUUUGGAAUUCACCUCCUCUCGCUGGUCACCACCAUCCUUUUCAAUCUCUCGGGAGUUCGGAAUUCACCUACUAUCCCCGGUCACCACCAUCAUUUUCAAUCUCUCGGGAGUUCGGAAUCCACCUACUAUCCCCGGUCACCACCAUCCCUCCCUCCUUCCCUCUCUUCCUCAGCGUCACUUCGAUCGCCAGGGAAUUAGGAAUUCACCUCUCUCCCCACUACCAUCGCUCCCUCCUUCCCUCUCUUUUCUCAGCGUUUGAAACCCGGCGCAUCGCCACGACAGAAGCCAAGGUACCCUUCGUUCAAGCACGCGCAGGGUUAACGCAGAACUGUGCUCCUAGGCCAUUCAAGGCCUCUCAUGAGUCGCACCACUACUGGCGCACUCGUUCUCUUACCCAAGUUCAUUGCCACCCAACUCCUUCCCUUUUCCUCUCUUUCCAUCCCUGCAUAAUCCUCCGCCUCCGUUUCUAUCAUCCUGCCACCACCAACCUUUGAGACAUCCCAGAGCUCAGCUUCUGGCGUAUGCACAACUUAGCAGCAGUUUUGCUGGUGAUUAGCUUUCCAAAGGGCUUUCAAUCUUCUUUUCUUGUUCUUAUUCAGGUUCCAGGGGAAAAAAAGGGUCUAAAACUGUAGCUGGAAAUUUCAGACCCCCCAUACUGAUCUCACCCUUCACCUUGCUCUCUCCAUCAGUUUCGUUCCUUUAUGUGCGUCGAAGCUAAUCUAAGACCAGCUCAAGCACACAAGUCCAAGAGAGAUUAAGGGCCCAAGAGAGAGAAAAUUAUGCCUCAGAUUAUCAACAAGGUAUUGGUGCUACUGAUCGGGAAUGUGGAAAGACUGGAAGAACUUAAACCUGGGGAUCACAUCUACACUUAUAGGCGAUAUGGCUUAUACACCCAUCAUGGUUAGUGGUUCAUCUUCCUCUUCUUCGUUUUAACCUGAUACCUUAUUUUUUUUCUUUAUUUCUUGCCCAACAACCCAUUUUGAAAUAAACUUGGCCAACUGUUUUUUUUUCUUUAAAGCUUUCGGAAAUAAAUUCGUAUGUGUUUUUGUACUCAAAAUUAUUCCAUCAAACUUUGCACACACCUAGUUUAAAACAUCAUUGUCUUAUUAAGCAAAUAAAUUUUUGUAUCCAAAUCCGAACCUCAUUUUUUUUUUUUGCCCAACAACUAUUUUUGAAAUAAACUUGGCCAAACUUUUCUUUCUCUUUAAACUUUCGGAAAUAAAUUCGUAUAUGCUCCUGUACUCAAAAUUAUUCUAUCAAAUUUUGUAUGGAUCUAGUUUAAAACCUCAUUGUCUUAUUGAGCAAAUAAAUUUUUGUGUCCAAACUCAACACCUCAUUUUUAUUUAACAAUCCAUUUUGAAAUAAACUUGGCCAACUAUUCUUUUUUUUUUUUUCCUUUAAUUCUUUUUUUGUGACCCAGGGGAACCCUGCAUAGCUGGGAGUAAACCCCUAGGGAGGCACGUAGGAAACCACCACCCACGCAGCCCGGGUAAGUCGCCAAGUGUCCCCACCUACCUCCCUGCAACUUGCGUCGCAGGGGCUUCGAACUCCGACCUCCAGCGUGGAAGUCCAGGAGCCUACCAGCGGAGCCAUCCUUGCCGGUGGUUUUUUCCUUUAAAGUUUUCGGAAAUAAAUUCGUACGUGCUCCCGUACUCAAAAUUAUUUCAUCAAACUUUGCAUGGAUCUAGUUUAAAAUCUCAUUGUCUUAUUGAGCAAAUAAAUUUUUGCGUCCAAACCCAACACCUCAUUUUUUAUUUUUUUUUUGCCCAACAACCCAUUUUGAAAUAAACUUAGCCAACUGUUUUUUUUCCUUUAAAGUUUUCGGAAAUAAAUUCGUAUGUACUCCCGUAUUCAAAAUUAUUCCAUCAAAUUUUGCAUACACUUAAUUUAAAACCUCAUUGUCUUAUUGAGCAAAUAAAUUUUUGCGUCCAAACCCGGCACCUCUUUUUUUUUUUUUUUUGCGCAACCCCUUUUGAAAUAAACUUGACCAACUGUUUUAUUUUUCUUUUAAAGCUUUCAGAAAUAAUUUUUUUUUUUUGUGAUCUAGGGAAUCUCGUGCGCCGCUUCGCGGCGAAGUAAACCGUGGGGACAGGUAGAGUCACCACCCACCCUUGCCUGUCGGGUAAAUCGCUUGACGACGCCGUGGAUCGAACUCGGGACCUCUCGUGCAAAGUUCCCUUGCCCAACCACCUACGCCACCACCACGGGUGAUCUUUUGGAAAUAAAUUCGUACGUGCUCCCGUACUCAAAAUUAUUCCAUCAAACUUUGUACGCACCUAGUUGAAAACCUCAUUGUCUUAUUGAGAAAAUAAAUUUUUGCGUCCAAACCCGACACCUCAUUUUUUCUUUAUUUCUUGCCCAACAACCAUUUUUGAAAUAAACUUGACCAACUUUUUUUUUUUCUUUAAAGCUUUCGGAAAUAAAUUCAUAUGUGCUCACAUACUCAAAAUUAUUCCAUCAAACUUUGCACGCACCUAGUUUAAAAUCUCAUUGUUUUAUUGAGCAAAUAAAAUUUGGCAUCGAAACCCAACACUUCAUUUUUUUUCUAUUUCUUGCCUAACAACCCUUUUAAAAAUAAACUUGGCUAACUGUUCUUUUUUUUCUUUAAAAAUUUCAGAAAUAAAUUCGUAUGUGCUCCCAUACUCAAAAUUAUUCCAUCAAACUUUGCACGCACAUAAUUUAAAACCUCAUUGUCUUAUUGAAAAAUAAUUUUUUGCGUCCAAACCCAACACCUCUUAAAAAAAUAAACUUGGCUAACUGUUCUUUUUUUUUCUUUAAAAAUUUCAGAAAUAAAUUCGUAUGUGCUCCCAUACUCAAAAUUAUUCCAUCAAACUUUGCACGCACGUAAUUUAAAACCUCAUUGUCUUAUUGAAAAAUAAUUUUUUGCGUCCAAACCCAACACCUCAUUUUUUUUAAAAAAAUAAACUUGGCUAACUUUUUUUUAAUUAUUUUUAAAGCUUUAAGAAAUAAACUCGUACGUGCUCCCGUACUCAAAAUUAUUCCAUCAAACUUUGCACGUACCUAGUUUAAAACCUCAUUGUUUUAUUGAGAAAAUAAAAUUUGGCAUCCAAACCCGACACUUCAUUUUUUUUUUUUUAUAUUUCUUGCCCAACAACCCUCUUAGAAAUAAACUUGGCCAACUGUUUUUUUUCUUUGAAGCUUUCGGAAAUAAAUUCGUAUGUGCUCCCGUACUCAAAAUUAUUCCAUCAAACUUUACGCGCAUCUAGUUUAAAACCUCAUUGUCUUAUUGGGAAAAUAAAUUUUUGCGUCCAAACCCAAUACCUCAUUUUUUUUUAAUUUCUUGCCCAACAACCCUUUUUGAAAUAAACUUGGCCAACUUUUUUUUUUUAAAGCUUUCGGAAAUAAAUUCGUAUGUGCUCCCGUACUCAAAAUUAUUCCAUCAAACUUUGCACACACCUAGUUAAAAACCUUAUUGUUUUAUUGAGCAAAUAAAAUUUGGCAUCCAAACCCGACACUUCAUUUUUUUUUUCUAAUUCUUUUCCAACAACCAUUUUCUAAAUAAAUUUGGCCAACUGUUCUUUUUUUUUCUUUAAGACUUUCGGAAAUAAAUUCAUAUGUGCUCAGCUACAAGUUUUUUGUUUUCUCGGGAUAAUGGUUUCGUUUUUUCUUUUUAAAUUGAAAUGGACUUUUAUGUAGGGUGCUCACAAUUGCACCACAUCCCGGAGAAGUUUCAAGAAACAACCAUCUAACCCCACAACUUGCCUACAUUCACUAAGGAACCAUUUCUUACAAGCAGCAAAGCAAAUAUACAUUCUUUCAAACAAUGCCUUGGAGUGCAUAUCUGGCUUUUCAACCUUCAAUGUAACAGUACUCCCAGGAUUUUUCUCCCUAAGCUCCUCCACAUAAUCCCAUAGUUUUGCAUAUUCUUUCUUAUAGUUUCCCAUCAACACUUUAUAAGCAAACAACUUAGCCUUCGUACAUUGAGCUAUGCUUACAUCUAAACCUAAUUGUUCCUUGAUUAAUUCCUUGAAAGCAAUAGUUUUAAUAGUUGGCAUUGCUUUUAUUGUAGAAAGAUAAUGAUUUGCCAAUCAAGAACUUGUCACCCUCCUAUUUUUGAAGCAAAUGCUACAAGUAUGAUCUGAAUGUAAGGUCUUGGCAUGAAAUGAUCCAAAACGAGCAUCAACAGAGCCAAAAAUCUUCCAAGGACAACUCUCAUUAACACAUUUUGCUCUAACAAAUUUCUUAUCAUUCUUUGUAAAUUUUAUCUCUCUACGUUCAGUCACUGAGUACUUUUUCAAAGCAUCUUUGAAUUGGCUACUACUAUCAAAUGUCAUAGCCACAGUAAACACAAGCACAUCACAAUUAGGAUUAUAUCUUGGAAACCUACUUCUCUUUCUAGUAAAAUCAUCUUCUCCCUCUAUAUCAGACCCCAAACUGUCAUAGGCAUCUGUAUCAUAAUACUCCGUCUCGUAACUAGCUUCAGCAUCAACUCCACUAUUCACAUCUAAUGGUUGAGAUGAUACUAAUACUGUGGAUGGUUCCCCUAUAAUCAAAUCCUUUGUAACCCUCCCACGAAACUCAAUUAUAUUUUGCCUUGCUUCUAGAAGCUCUUCAUUAUCAAUAUCAUCAUCAUCAGUCCAAAAUCUUACACCGCCAAGAAAAUUUGUCUCAUCAUCAUUGUCGUCAUCCAGAAUAUCCCCCUCUACGUCAAUAAAAUUACCUUCAUCAACUAAGUCAUUAGGAUCUAAGUCAUCCUCGUGCUCAAUAAUUGUCUCAUUUGCUAAACCAAUAUCAUUGCGAGCACCCACACUAAUCCCUUGACCAACACUCUCACUUGGGGAAGCAUCCUCACCCUCACCACCCCCGUGACCAAAACCCUCACUUGGACUAGCACUCUCACCCUCACCCACACCCACACCCACACCCACGCCAACCCCUUGACCAUCACCCUCAACUGCCUCAUCGAUUGCGAAAUUUUCUCCAUAUAUCUCAAUUAACUCACAAUGCAAAUAACUUAAAAGUAAAUCAAUGACAUUGCUCUCAUUCCAUAUAUAUCUCAACCCAUCUUCUAGAGACUUUCUAGGAAACUUAAAAUAAAGUUUUUCAAAUUUACACUUUACCCCAUUCUCAAUAUCUCUAAUGAAGCUUUCAUAGCUCCUUGAACCGAUAUCAACUUUUACCAAAUCAAUCUUACCCCCAACAUAUUCAAGCAUUGGGCAACGGUAAAAAUUUCCACCAUGGAAAGGCAAGCCCAUGCCGACUUGUCGCUCAUCUCAACCCUAUACAAAAGAACGCAAUAUAUGUUGUAAGAAGCCACAUAAUGGAGAUUUUAACAUGAAUGGCCAAAAGUGCUAAAUAAAUAUAAAGAGUUUGACUUGAGCAUAAGUGCAAAAUCCUUCCCGUCUCAUAAUUACAAGUGAAAUUCCUCUCUAAUUUACAGGAAUUAACUAAUUCAAUUAAUAUCUAGUACCUAUGAUAUGAGAGUUCAAGGUGAAUAGUGGCAUAAAAUUAGUUUGCUUUCAAGUUAGAUAUUUGGUUUGUAUAGCUACUUGAAGCCAAUGCCAAAAAUCUUAGGGCUGAUAAAAGAAGUUUUUCUCCCAUAGUAGACGUGAUCUUGUUUUUUUGCAACUAAUGAAGGAUAAAAAAAGACCACGAUGCUAGGUUCUUUGUAUACAGAUAUAGCAGGUCAAUGUAUUACAAGCAGCAUGGCUCACAAGGCUUUAAUUUUAGAAUGUUACUUCAUAUUAUCUCAAUUCUUUCCUACCAUCACUUCCAUGGAUAUCGUCUUUUGGCUUUUCAGGAUUUUUGACAAUAGUUUCAUUGUUUAGGCGGCUGAAGAGUGUACUUCUAUGCUUAAACUUUGAAGUUAAUUUGCUCAGAAUCACUAAUCUACUUUCAGUUUAAAACCAAACAGUUGGUUUGUUCAACACACGCAAAGAAAUAAGAUAUUUUGGGAACACGACAAAGACAAUCAUAGAGACAAAAUAAUUUGGGAACAGGACAAAGACAAACAUGGAGACAAAACAUAGUUUAGGACCACGGCAAUAUACCUUUUGACAGAUUUUGAUUGACUUCACGACCACCCACCACGUAGCUCACCACUUGCCGACAACACAAUCAAAUUGGGACCACCUCACUUGCUUGUGUUUGCUGGAUGAACGAAUCGGGUCAAGUUGUGCGAGAAUCGAGUCUUCGGGUCUUCGGGUCUCUCGUCUUCUCAUUUGUAGCAACGAACAAAUUGGGUCAAGUUGUGGCCGAAUCAGGUCUUUGGGUCUUCAGGUGUUCUUGAUUCGGGCAAGAAGCGACGAACAAUGGCGUUGGCCAAAAAGGGGCUUGAUUCAUGAAGGAUAUUGAGGAAAUCACAAUAUGAGAUCAAAUCAGCUCAAAAUCUACAAGAAUUUCGGAGGAGAUCUCACUAGGGUUUUUUAGAUGAUUUUGGAAAGAAGCAAGGAGCAGCCGCACGACUUUUCUCUUCUGCCUUUUCUCUUUGGCUUUUAUUUUUUAAAAAAGUAAAACGACGACGUUUUGCUCUCCGGUGCCAUGUCAGCGUCGGCAACGCCGACCGGUGCUGACUAGGAUGCCACAUCAGAUUUUUCCGACUAUGCAUGGCCGGAUGGACUGAACUGGAACAAAACCAAAAUGUUUAGGACUAAAUUGGCCAAAAAAAAAAAGAGUUUAUGACUGAAUUGGCAUAAUUGCAAUAGGUUUAGGACUUUUUUGGUAAUAUUCCCUCAUGGGAUAUGGAGAAAACAGUCUCAUUAGAUGGACAAAACUAAACUAAUUCUGAUGGAGGUGGUGGUGGUGGAGGAGUAUAAGGACAUGGAGUUUAUAAGCUCACUCCCCA
Molecule: long non-coding RNA, 9588 nt
Filed under: Eucalyptus grandis
Lineage: Eukaryota; Viridiplantae; Streptophyta; Magnoliopsida; Myrtales; Myrtaceae
Description: long non-coding RNA (EGRA_LNC005243)
Source: RNAcentral